Molecule: long non-coding RNA, 309 nt
Organism: Homo sapiens (human)
Lineage: Eukaryota; Metazoa; Chordata; Mammalia; Primates; Hominidae
Exons: 3
Source: RefSeq, a predicted model, not a curated record
GAACCAGGGGAGCCAAUGGUGAAGUCUUGGUCCAAGUUCCAAGGCCUGAGAACCAGAAAUGCCAAUGUCCAAAAGCAAGAGUGGAUGAAUGUCCCAGCUCAAAUACAGAACACCAGUGUUCCCUUCCUCUGCCUUUUUGUUUUAUUGGGCACUCAGUGGACCGGAUGAUGCCCAUCCACACUGCAACCCAACAUAGAGGAAAAGCUGAACACCACCAACAUUUUCAGGAGCUGGCUGCCUACAGAAAGCCUGUGUUCUGCUCUGCUUCCCUAUGUGAAAAUUACCAGAGACAGCAUAACAAAGCAUGUG